GCACCAAGGCUCUGCUGACCGCUCGUCUCUAAUUCUUGCCUGACACAGACAUUCCCUGCCCAGGGAAGUGUUUGAUUUAUGUUGAGGUUUCAGUGUCGGGAUUCUGCUGACAGGAGUCAAACUGGGGACUUGGGGAUUCAGAUGAGGAUUUCCUUGCGGAACUACAGAGGAAAAAUGUCCAAGGCCUGGCUUGGACGGAGCGGGUCCUGGUACCCCAGUGCUGAAUGGAAGAAGUGUGGACACAGGCUAAGGAACCUCAUCAUGUCACGCGGCCCUAGAGUGACCAAGCUGGGAACUGAGCUCAGGCUGUUUGCCUCAAAAACUCAGUUUCCGAACCACCACUUUCUGUUGCCUGAGCAAGCAGUCAUUCAGUAAAUUUAGUGAGGACCUGCUCUGGUCAGGCAUGUGUACCACGUGCUGCGGAGAGAAACGGAUACUGUCUCUUUCUGCCCACAAGGAAGCCUGGUGGGUGAACCUUCAUCAAAUCCCUCUACUGGGGAAAACCUUUCCUCGUUUCUCUAUCUACAACUGGAGUUUUGCUCAAUCUUUUUUGCUAUCGAAUUUCACGGAUUCAUGUGUGUUGGAGGAUUCCAUGAGAAUUCUCUAAUCUCACCCUCCAGGUGAUGCAGGAGUCUGUACUGCAGAGCACCUGCCCCAGCACACACACACACACGCAUGCACACGCAUGCACGCACACACGCACAGACGGCAGAGCACAUCUAGUUGAGAGCUUAGAUUCUGGAGAUGAACUACUUGAGUUCAAAUCUUGACUCUACUAUUUACUGCCUGUGUGACCUUGGGCAAGUCCUUUGAUCUCUUUGAUCCUCAGUUUCCUCACCUUUAAAGUCACUCCUACCUUGUAGUGUUUGUUUGGUUUUUUUU
Long non-coding RNA from Aethalodelphis obliquidens (Pacific white-sided dolphin), 882 nucleotides. RefSeq lists it as uncharacterized. Lineage: Eukaryota; Metazoa; Chordata; Mammalia; Artiodactyla; Delphinidae. The transcript has 3 exons. The record is from RefSeq and is a predicted model, not a curated record.